This is a long non-coding RNA of Xenia sp. Carnegie-2017, 188 nucleotides long. RefSeq lists it as uncharacterized. The transcript has 3 exons. The record is from RefSeq and is a predicted model, not a curated record. NCBI's taxonomy places the organism in Eukaryota, Metazoa, Cnidaria, Anthozoa, Malacalcyonacea, Xeniidae.
UUUACAAACAUAAAAAGAAAAGAAAUGGACGACAAAAUUUAGUAAUUAGCAAAAUAAUCGCAAUGGGCAUUGAAAUCAUCAUAAUACGUCAAUUUCAUCUAAAGUUCUUUUUUAUAUACGCUCUGUACAGUUAGGGUGCACCCAUUGAGCUACAUACUCUUUUACAAGAGUUACGAUGAUAAUAAAAA